Long non-coding RNA from Cyprinus carpio carpio, 520 nucleotides. NCBI's taxonomy places the organism in Eukaryota, Metazoa, Chordata, Actinopteri, Cypriniformes, Cyprinidae. The record is from Ensembl.
CUCUGACAGACUAACCUGAUGUUGUGAUAGAAAUAGUGUCUUAUUCUUCUGUCUGCCCGACAGCGCUGUGAAACGCUCAUUCAUUUCCGCUUUCGUCCUCCUACACACUCCCUCGCUUAUCAUCUCUGCUGCUAAAUCUACCUGACAGGCCCCUCACAGAGGGGCGGGGCCGAGAGCCAUGGGAAUGGAGCGAGGCCGGUGGAGUUGAUGUUAAUGCAUGACACCUGCGCCACUCACCGAUCUCGAGUCCCACAGAGGAGCUCCGGGAGGAUAAAAGGAGGAGUGACGACAGUGAAAGACGAGAGAGGACCAGGCCUGGAUUUUGUGUUUUGGUUCUGUUUGUGCAAAACAGUCAUCCGUGAGGGGCUAUCACGCUAUUUUGUGUUUAUUUUAUUAUUAAAGUUUUUGUUUAAAUGUUCGCCGGUUCCCGCCUCCUUCUUCCUGACCUACGAACUUUGUUACAUUGGUGCCGAAACCCGGGAGGAAGGAGCGACGCACUGCCGGAGAUCCCUCACUGCUG